Molecule: transfer RNA, 82 nt
Filed under: Spongiivirga citrea
Lineage: Bacteria; Pseudomonadati; Bacteroidota; Flavobacteriia; Flavobacteriales; Flavobacteriaceae
Also listed under: 1 other name
Rfam family: tRNA
About the family: Transfer RNA (tRNA) molecules are approximately 80 nucleotides in length. Their secondary structure includes four short double-helical elements and three loops (D, anti-codon, and T loops).
Source: Rfam by way of RNAcentral
GCGGAUGUGAUGGAAUUGGUAGACAUGCCAGACUUAGGAUCUGGUGCCGCGAGGCGUGGGGGUUCGACUCCCUUCAUCCGCA